Long non-coding RNA from Biomphalaria glabrata, 399 nucleotides. RefSeq lists it as uncharacterized. The transcript has 3 exons. Lineage: Eukaryota; Metazoa; Mollusca; Gastropoda; Planorbidae. The record is from RefSeq and is a predicted model, not a curated record.
CAACAUACGACUGUAUUGUGUAAAUAAGUUGGAAAUGGAUUGUAUUUCAAUUGUUUAUUUUUAAUUAAUUGACUUGGCUAGUUGUGAUACAUAGACGAGUAAUAUGUUGUCUUGAGCUAUCUUGGGGAUAAUAUAUUUUUUAUAAGAUCACGCUCACUAGCAAGAAUUACCAAAUGUCUCAAUCAAUCUUCGAGAAUUGUUGACCUCAAGUCCUUCAUUAGUUUGAGGCGCGAGAAGCUUCUUUCACCAGAUUCAACAAUUACAGGGCCGAAACCUUCCCAAGACAUGGCAUAAAUACUGUCUUCUGCAUUCUUUUGCCAACUCAUGUAGCUCUGAAGGGCAAGGAGGAGCAAAGCACUGGCAGCAAGGGAGAUGACCAAAAGCGCAGCCAACGCCUUC